RNAcentral lists this small RNA (560 nucleotides) under Pongo abelii (Sumatran orangutan). RNAcentral describes it as "processed transcript". The record is from RNAcentral. Lineage: Eukaryota; Metazoa; Chordata; Mammalia; Primates; Hominidae.
GGUUUGAGGUGGAAGGCUGAGGACUGCAGGAUUCUAAAUAGUAUGGGGAUUGUGUGAGGAGUGAGGCAUUAGCUGCUUGGGCUCUUAGUCCAGCCUUGUUGGUGGCUGCUGCAGUUCCUUGGCUCACUCACUCGUAUCUUCGUGCCUCAGUUUCCCUUUGCAUAAUGAGAUACGGUGGCAGAGAAGAACGCCAGUGCCACAUCCAUGACUGAUAGCUUGAGGACAGAGGUGAACUGGAGGAUAGAAAAAGAGGAUGCCUGAGAAAUUUAUACCUACCAGGUCACAUCUUCCAAAUCCCAGGAAGUUAUCCCUGGAUUCAUUUCUGCCUUUGAUGCAAGUCUGUGGUUCUUUUCAUUACUCUUUGUGUGAUAUUGAUUGCUUUCAGGUAUAGGCUGAGUCACUGGUCUUAAAACAUUUCUUCUUGAGAAUGUCUAAAAGACUAUGGAAUCUGUUAGAUCUUAUAUACUUUUAAGUUGGCACCUGAAACUUUUCAUCGUAGAUUUAAAUAGUGGUCUCGCUGUGUUGCCCAGCCUGGUCUUGAACUCCUGGACUCAAGUGAU